Molecule: long non-coding RNA, 6290 nt
Organism: Alexandromys fortis (reed vole)
Lineage: Eukaryota; Metazoa; Chordata; Mammalia; Rodentia; Cricetidae
Exons: 6
Source: RefSeq, a predicted model, not a curated record
CAGGAAACCACGGAGUGUGGGCAGGGGUGGGGGAUGGUCCAGCCUACGGUCGCUCGCUGGCGGCCGCGCUGCAGGUGGCUCGAGCAGCUGCCAGCCAUGCGGCUUCCCGCUGCAGUGCCCGCCCGCGCCCCAGCCUCUUCUUGGGGGGUUUUCCGGCUCCGGGCGCCCCAAAGCCACCCCGGCCGUGCACAGCUUUCUGAUGAGUCAGCAGCAGCCGGGAGCCUCCGGCCGCCGCGGGCAUCUGCUCAGUGACGCACCGUGAGUCACGGGCGCCCGGGCAGCCGCAGCCGAGCAGCUUCGCUGCAGCGCCGCCCCCACGGCGCCCACCGGGCCGCUCGCCCGCACCCGCUCCGCCUCCUGCGCCCGCCGGGCCUCUCCUUCGCCUCCCCGCCGCGGCCGGCCGGGCUCCAGGCUGACAUCAGACGCUGGCCGCCAGGCCACCCUCUGAGUCAACAGUUUCCGAAGCGCAGCCUGCUGCCAGGAGCGGGAGAAAGCUCAGCCUCCCGGGGAGGCGCGGCCCGCACCACUCGGGCUGCGGUGGAGGGCGGAGGUGGGUGGGGACGAGCGGGGGCCUUUACCAGAAGUCACGAGGGCGAGGGAGAAGGGAGGGCCAUCGCCACCCUGCGGGGUAGCCGGGCGCAGUGGAAGCCCGCCGCCCCCAGCCACGUGCUGCAGCCCGCGCUGGGUGGCAAGGCUGGAACCGCCCCAAGGGCGGGAGGAGAGGGAAGGCGAGGCCCUUGCUGGGAAAGGCCCCGGGCCAAGUUUCUAGAAGCAGGACUUGCACCUCCCUAGAGACCUCUCUCAGACUUAGGGUACCGACCUGGGCGGGGACAGGCUUUGGGGCUGAGACGUGGCCUCCAAUCAGGCUUUUGAUGGGGGCAGCUUUGAUUAAGCCCCUCGCCUUACUCUUGGUCAGCGGCAGACCCUGUAGUCAACUUGGGAUGGGGAAGUGAGGAAGCACCCUUGUUCAGCUAAAGAGGUGUAGUCAAAGUUAAGAGUUAACGGAGCCCUAGUAAAUGGUUAGCAGAUGACGUCCUAUGAAACUGGGCGGUAAUGGUAUAAAGAGAGGCAUAAAAAAAUAAGAAUUCUGAGAGUAUUUUUUUUUAAAUUAUCAUUGGAGGGCAUGAUUCUUCAUCCCUAAGCAGGUUUCCAGAAGCUGGGUGUGUGGCUUGGUGGUUGAGCGGUUGCUUACACACGCAGGUCUAGUACUCAGGCGUUGCAUGUUGGGGGUAAGAUGGGGGAGAGUGAAUUGCCAAGCCCCACGUACUGUACAAUAAUCUAGCCUUCUACAAGGCUAGGCAUCUGGGUGCUUCGAACUGCCUCAGAGUCUGCUCAGCAACCAGUCCGAGAGGCGCUCUGUUUCCAGGAGGCCCAGGGAGGGCGAAGCUGGAGCUCCGGGAACUGAAGACGUUGCUGGUGGUGCCGGCUUCAUCAGGCUACAGCAGCUAGCUCUGUUCUCUAGCCACGGAUGCAACAGUUAAAAAAAAAAAAAAAAAAAUCAACAUAAGAAACAUCUACCGUCCGUGAACUUCGUGGCCUUUGGAAGCUUCUUUAACUCUGGGAGCUUUUCCUUACCAGGUCAAACAGGAAGGCAGGUUACGGAGGCUCCAGGAGGACACGGAAGGCAGCAGAUGUUACAGGUGAAAGAGUUGGAACAAGACAGCUCAGGUCUCAGUUCUCACCUCCAAGCUGUAUGAGCGGAAGUCAUCCACCAGAGCCUGGUGCCACACAGUUGGGAUUAUCUCUGAUGCCAGCAGCAUGCACCUCGGGAGUGGCUGGUGCAGUUCCUCCCCGGAUUCCUAAUGGGGCAGGAUGUCUGACCCCUGUGGCCUCCGUCUAUCCUGCACGUUUGGCUGCUUGAACUACAGAAGAGACAGUUAUUGAACAAACCUUUAUUUUUUAAAAAAAAUUUAUUUACUUUUAUGUGUAGGGGUGUUUUUGCCUGCACGUGUGUCUAUGCCAUGUGUGUGCCCUGUGCCUACAGAAGCCAGAAGAGGGCAUCAGAUUCACUGGCACUGGAGUUACAGAUGGUUGUGAACUGCCGUGUGGAUGCAAGGCCUCCAGAAGAGCAGCCGGUGCUUCCAGCUGCUGAGCCACUGCCCCAGCCCCUGCACAGAUCUUUCUUGGGCUCCAGCUAUGGCCCAGUAAACAAAACCCUUGGCAGCCAGCUCUCUGGGACUCACCUUUGAAAAGAUGCGAUUCUUCCCGUACUGGUUUGCUACCGUGGGCCUCACCAGUUCUCUGUCCAGCUGGCUCACAGAAAAGAAACGCUGUCCAGCAGUUCUGUGGGCCGUUGUCUGCAUGGUCACUGGGCAGUGUGGGAGGAUCUAUUCAAUGCCUUUCUGGGAGCUCCUGGUGCCCUAGGGUAUGGACUUCCUUGGCUUGUGGAAGCAUUACCCAGACCUCUGCAGCAUCUUCUCAAGACGCCUUCCUGCCUUUGUGUUCAACUCUACCUGAAUUAUUGUUGUUCUUUGUUUUGUUUUGUUUUGUUUUGUUUUGUUUUGUUUUGUUUUGUUUGAGACAGGGUUUCUCUGUGUAGCCCUGGCUGUCCUGGAACUCACUUUGUAGACCAGGCUGGUCUCGAACUCAGAGAUCCACCUACCUCUGUCUCCUGAGGGCUGGGAUUAAAGGCAUGAGCCACCACACCCAGCCACCACCAAAUUUUUCUUUGUUUUAUAAGGACACACACAGUCAUCGCAUCAAAGCACGCGUUAGUGACCUCAUCCUGACCUGAUCUUUCCUCAGGACCGUUUCCCUGUAAAGAUGCCUUCUGGGGUGCUGAGAGUUAGGAUUCCAGCUUGUCGUUUUCGCGGUGUUGGUGGACCCUGUCUCAGGGAGAUCUUGGGCAGGCUGUCUCAGCCAUGAGUCUCAGAGUACACUAGCCAUGCCAUGUCUGGAGACCAGCGAUCCACAGCUCCUCUCACCUCCUCUGCUUCUUCCAUCCUUUCUCCUGAGGGGGUGAUGCAGACAACCCGUUUAUGGCUGGACAUCCAAUAGGGGGGUUAAUGCACACCAGAGCUUGGAAGCUACCAGAACCAACUGGAAGGAAAGCAGCUUCCACCACCAGAGGGCUGAGCUGCAGGAUCCUGUUACCCGUUUGUGCCGGUCUGGGUAUCCUUUGGCCUGUUCCCAGUUUCUCAGGGCAAACAGCCUUGCAGAGCAGGCCUCGCUGUGUGCCAGGGACAAGAUUUUAAGAAAACAGGGUCUCAUGUAGCCCAGGCUGGCCUAAAACUUGCUCACCUUGACCUCAGAUGGAAUUUCGAGAGCAGCGUCUCCAGCAUCGCGUGGCACUGGGGGCCACCUUGUCCAGCCACGCUGUCAUUUCAGCAAGCAGAGCAAGGGACACGAAGACAUGGGAAGCAGGACAGCCACACUGCUGGGUUUUAAUCCAAACUUGUCAACCUAUGCCAUUUUGGGCCGGUGACUCAGUGACUUCGUAAAUCGGAACAAAACUGCGACGUCCUUGUGUGUUUGCUGCUGUUGCUGUUUGCUCUUAUUUUUUUGGCACUGCUUGGGAUCCCCAAGUUCUCUUGCUACUACCAGGUCCCCCCUCAUUCUAGACCAGUGUUCGACUUCUGACUGAGACAAACCUGUAGCCCCUCGUCUAGGGUCAUUACUAGGAGUAAGUGGCUGAUGUGCCAAGGUUGUGGCUGGGAGGCAGUGGACAACCCUGUCCCUGCCAGGACCUUUUCCUGAGCUGGGUUCUGUCAUUUCUCUUGAAAGAGGCUUGAGCCAAGACGUAAAACUUUUCUGGGCUGGGUGGUGGUGGAGCACGCCUUUAAUCCCAGCACUCGGGAGGCAGAGACAGGCGGAUCUCUGUGAGUUUGAGGCCAGUCUGGUCUACAAGAGCUAGUUCCAGGACAGACUCCAAAGCCACAGAGAAACCCUGUCUCAAAAAAUCAAAACAAACAACAACAACAAAACUUUUCUGGCUACCCCUGUUUGAAAUGUUCCCCAACAUCCAUCCAUCUCAGCAACAGGGUAUCACCAAGCUCUUCACAGGUACCUAGACAAUGCUUCUCAGAAGUCAGCCUGCACACUCGGGCAUCUGCCAUUCACCUCUGGACGGUCCUGGGUCCUGCUCCUACACGCAAGAUAUCGACCACGUGCCUCGUUUUCCUGCUCUUUUGCCCAUGAGGCUGUUUACAGGCCUUGGCUCUGUAUUCUGGAAACCAGAACCCCUUCCGAGGCCCUGCCUGGGUCUCCGCCAGAUGUGAGACUAGCUUACCAGAGGGUAAGCAGGAAACUGUUGCAGUUUCUUCCUAACUCUGCCCAUUGGCUUGGUUACUUGGCCUCCAUUAAGUAUCUAUGACUGACCAGAGCUGGGUAACUGAAUUAGAACAAAGAACUGGAAGGAAACAAUGAGAGGAAAUUCAGCCCAGUGGGGACUCGCCGGGGAGCCCACUAUAAUACGGAAAGGGGAGGGACUCACAGGCACCCAGGGGACAGUGGUUGUUAAGGACCCACAGGGCAGCUUCCUGCCAGCCUAUGGCUCACCUCUGAGCCCUUCAGCCUUCCAGGAAAGACUUGGAAUAGUCUUCUGGGCAUGAGCAUACUGGGAAGGAAUACUGGGAGGGGGUAAGAAAGAAAGAGGGCAAAUGUCAACACCGGGAGAAAGGCUGGACAACCGCACCAAACGCGGAAGGGCGGGGAGUUCCAGGCCAGUUGCAGGUGUGGAUCUACUUAGAAGGAAUAGGGUGACGUUGAACUUCUAAUUGAAAGACAGGGAGGGCACAGGACUAUCAGACUUCCUCGGAGUCAGCCUGAGAGAACUCAGCACAAGAGUCUGGCUCACCUUGGAAUGUUCUGGAAUGCCUGGAAUACGGGCAGGUGCAUCUCUUGCCAGACGCCAUAACCCUUGAGCCAACAAGGUCAAAAGGCAAACUUUCCAGCCAGGCGAAGUGGCACUCGCCUAUAAACCAAACACUUGAAAGGCAGAGGCAGGAGAAUUGCCACACAGUUGAAGGCAGCCUGGUCUAAACAGAGUUCUAAGCCAGCCAUGGCUAUGCAGUAAGAACCAAUCUUAAAACAAAAAAGCAAUUUUGCCAAACUCUUCCGGCCACUGGGGUAGAGCCACUCACACUGUUCUGGUGUUUCGGCGAGCCCUAAGGUGUGAGUGUGUGUGUGUGUGUGUGUGUGUGUGUGUGUGAGUAUGCGUGCACGUGUGUGUGACAGAAGGGAGUCUGCAAGGCUCUGCACACUCUUGUGGGUUGCUGUUUCUUGUAGGACAGUGUUUGUUUAGGAGAACGUACAGUUUGUCUUGUACUCACCUGAGGGGAUAGAGCAUUAUCUAUUUCCCACAGAUGAUGAGACGUGUCGUCUAUGUUGGAUGUGCUGAUCCUUGAAGGCCCUCCCUUUUGAGGUCAUUCCUUUAACCUGAAUCACGAUUCAGAACUGUCACCUACUUACCCCUCAUGUCUCAGGCUCCAGUGUAACUGUGCGACUUCUGUCCAUAAGCGCUGAGCAGGCACCAUGGAUGUCUCAGUUCACUCUGUGUGAGUCUAUAAGUCAGACCAUUGAGUCUCUUCUGACAGCCUAUAGAUCUGUUAUUUCCUUAUGCACAGUCUCUUGGGUGCUCUUUCUGUGUGAGGCACUGUCCUAGGUUCUGGCGACAGUACCAGGUCUCUUUGUUCUUGCUAGGCCCGCUGAUGAGAGACGUACACAGGAACAUUUUAGCUGGUGACAACUGUCACCAAAGAGGCAGGUGUGCUGUGGUGGAGGGUGGGACACCCUCCACUGUGCUGUGAUGAUGACCGCGUCUUUCGUGCUCAGGCCAAUCACAGACGGCAUUGGGAUAUCCGGACAUCCCGGGUACUGCUCCAUUCGGUGGUGGCAGGUUAUCAUCUAUUAUCAUAAGUUCCAAAGACAUGAAGCCCUUGGUCAACAGAUGUCACAGGGCUGAGCUACCAAAAGCAGGUACUGCGGGUUAGUCAGGGUCAUUGUUCUUUCUGAGCACAUUGGGCUCAGGGUAACUAGUUUUUAUUUGCUUGGUUGGUUGCUUGCUUGGUUACACACACACACACACACACACACACACACUGGCAGAGGUAGUGGUAUGUGUAUAGAUUUCAAAGUCCCCCCUCUUCCCUGUGAGCCCUGGGAAUGAAACUCAGUUCUUGAGCCCUACAGUGAAUGCUUUUAACCACUGAGCCAUCUUGCUGGCUCUGUUUGGCUGAAUUUUUGAGACAAGGUUAGACUCAAUCUGCAGUCUAACCUGACCUUGAAUUCACCGUAUAGCCCAGGCUGGCCCCUCAGCCUCCUGGGAUUGCCGCCAUGCCUGGCCCUUUUUU